This 1602-nucleotide small RNA is filed under the name Pan troglodytes (chimpanzee). RNAcentral describes it as "retained intron". The record is from RNAcentral. Lineage: Eukaryota; Metazoa; Chordata; Mammalia; Primates; Hominidae.
GGCUGCAGCACGCGGUGCACGAGGCAGAGCCCACAAGCGAAAGACGGAGUGGGCCGGGCAUUCCGGCCCCGCCUUCCGCGGAGCAAAACAAACCUUCCACUGUGAUGUCUGCAUGUUCACCUCUUCUAGAAUGUCGAGUUUUAAUCGUCAUAUGAAAACUCACACCAAUGAGAAGCCUCACCUGUGUCACCUCUGCCUGAAAACCUUCCGUACGGUCACUCUGCUGCGGAACCAUGUUAACACCCACACAGGAACCAGGCCCUACAAGUGUAACGACUGCAACAUGGCAUUUGUCACCAGUGGAGAACUCGUCCGACACACGCGCUAUAAACAUACUCAUGAGAAACCCUUUAAAUGUUCCAUGUGCAAGUAUGCCAGUGUGGAGGCAAGUAAAUUGAAGCGCCAUGUCCGAUCCCACACUGGGGAGCGCCCCUUUCAGUGUUGCCAGUGCAGCUAUGCCAGCAGAGACACCUACAAGCUGAAACGCCACAUGAGAACGCACUCAGGUAAGGGCUCUGGUGCUGAAGGCCUGAUACCUACAGUGUUAACUCUUAAAGCAAGCUUUAAAAAAUUACUUUUUAUUGGCACAAUUAAAGUUCAAAGGUAAAAGUGGAUUUUUGCGUGCCUUCAUGAUACGAGAAUCUUGAUCUGUACCUUUAUUUAGCAGUAAGAGAGUCUGCAUAGAUACUGUGCCACAACCCCACUUUGUGGAGUAAAACACAAAAUAUUUGCUUCCGUAGAUUUUUCAGGUAUUUAAAACUCAACUCCUGGCCAGGCAUGGUGGCUCAAACCUGUAAUCCCAGCACUUUGGGAGGCUGAGGCAGGAGGAUCCCUUGAGUCCAGGAGUUUGAGACCAGCCUGGUCAACAUAGGGAGACCCUGUCUCUACGAGUAAUUUAAAAAUUAGCUGGGCCUGGUGGCGUGAUCCCAGCUACUUGGGAGGCUGAAGCAGGAGAAUCACUUGAACCCAGGAGGUUGAGGCUGCAGUGAGCCGGGAUUGCGCCACUACACUCCAGCCUGGGUGACAGUGAGAACCUGUCUCAAAAAAAAAGUAAAUAAAAAUAAAUAAAAGUCAACUCCUUAAUUCAUUCUUCAACUUUAAGGCAAAACAUAAAGUGUGCUGGUUUUGUAACAGAGGUACUUGAUGUCUUGUGUUAAGAAUACGUUUAUGUGUACUUCUUGGUUAUUCAUACAGCCCCAUGGAUGUGAACCACCUUGAACUCUUGCGUAGCCACCAGAUGCGGGGAAGUCAUGUCUCUAGUCCAUCAUGGACACAGCUGUACUUGACAUAAGCUGUCUGGGCUUGAUUCGGGAGUCUCAUACUAAUUGGGGGUUGUCCGGUGAGAAGGGGGUUGAUAAAGGAGGCUUGGGGCAAAAGAAACACUUUCAGCACAGGUGGCCUUUGGCAAGGAUCAGGCCUGGAGGGGGAAUCACUUUGUUGUCUGCAUCUCAGGUGAGAAGCCUUAUGAAUGCCACAUCUGCCACACCCGCUUCACCCAGAGCGGGACCAUGAAAAUACAUAUUCUGCAGAAACAUGGCGAAAAUGUCCCCAAAUACCAGUGUCCCCAUUGUGCCACCAUCAUUGCACGGAAAAGCGACCUAC